GCUCAUUUGGAGAAUCCACUUGUGUCAGGCUUUCAAUUCUUAUUUCCAUAAGAAUGAUGAUUAAGUAUGAAUACCCAGUCAGACCUCCCUCUGAGCCCCAAUCAUACAUUAACAAUUGUCUAUAUUUCUUGUUGUGUGUUCAACAUUAUCUCUAGUUCUUCUUUCCUUGCAAAUUACCUCUUUUCCUGAUGGCUCUCUUCUACUCUAAGAGCAAAACACAGCUAUCAAUUCUAAGUGCUCGUCUCUUAAGCUUCUUCUAGUCAGACAACAAAACCCAAUAAUUCUCCUCAACCCUUGAGCUUCACUGUUUUAGAUGCUCUGUAUGAUGAUUCACUUUCCUAUGAACAGCCCGUGCAAUGCAUGUGUAUAUAGAUUAACAUCGUAGAGGCUGUUCACAUUUGUGAAGUACCCUAAUUAGGACCUAGCACUCUGGUUAGUUAGCAUUUGAAGGACUGUAAUCAGAAAUUCAUUCUCUAGAGGUAGUUACAUAAGCACUUCAGAUCCAUUAUUCAUUUACAAAUGAAAUGAUAUGAUUUUCUUCCAAAUAAUCCAGGAGGAGGGAUAGGGAUUUGGAUGAAAUAAGAUUGGCCAUGAAUUCUGUAAUUGUUGAGGCUGGGCAGUGGAUAAUAUGGGAAGUGGGAGCCACCUUUAAUCCCAUGGGCUCAGAAGGCUGAGGCAGGAAGAUAGCAAGUUCAAAGUCAGCUUCAGCAACUUAUUGAGGCUCUAAGCAACUUG
RNAcentral lists this long non-coding RNA (735 nucleotides) under Marmota monax (woodchuck). Lineage: Eukaryota; Metazoa; Chordata; Mammalia; Rodentia; Sciuridae. The record is from RNAcentral.